GUAAGAGACCACCGGCGUCUGCAGUAAUGCAGCGGCCAGGCAACCCCCGGUUGGAGCAAGGCCAAGCAGAGACCAAUUUCACCUUCGGGUGGAGGGAAGCGGCUCGUUUUCUUAUGAGUCUCGGGUAGGCUGCAUGAGUUUGGCGGUAACGUCAAACCUAGAGAGAUGACCGUCAUGUUUGGAGUCGUGCUUCGGCAUACCCUCCGAGCUACAGAAAGCGGCUUAUAGACUAGCCUGGAUU
RNAcentral lists this RNase P RNA (241 nucleotides) under Chloroflexi bacterium HGW-Chloroflexi-4. Its description in RNAcentral is "partial RNase P RNA component class A". It matches the Rfam family "Bacterial RNase P class A", at positions 167 to 367 of the family's 367-position model. From Rfam's summary of the family: Ribonuclease P (RNase P) is a ubiquitous endoribonuclease, found in archaea, bacteria and eukarya as well as chloroplasts and mitochondria. Its best characterised activity is the generation of mature 5'-ends of tRNAs by cleaving the 5'-leader elements of precursor-tRNAs. Cellular RNase Ps are ribonucleoproteins. The record is from RNAcentral. Lineage: Bacteria; Bacillati; Chloroflexota.